This 90-nucleotide transfer RNA is filed under the name Chloroflexota bacterium. RNAcentral describes it as "Chloroflexi bacterium tRNA-Ser". It matches the Rfam family "tRNA". Rfam says of the family: Transfer RNA (tRNA) molecules are approximately 80 nucleotides in length. Their secondary structure includes four short double-helical elements and three loops (D, anti-codon, and T loops). Lineage: Bacteria; Bacillati; Chloroflexota. RNAcentral also lists the same sequence under 3 other names. The record is from RNAcentral.
GGAGAGGUCGCAUAGUCCGGCCGAGUGCGCUCGUCUCGAAAACGAGUAGGGUUUACGCCCUCGAGGGUUCAAAUCCCUCCCUCUCCGCCA